Molecule: long non-coding RNA, 1007 nt
Organism: Pseudophryne corroboree (corroboree frog)
Lineage: Eukaryota; Metazoa; Chordata; Amphibia; Anura; Myobatrachidae
Exons: 5
Source: RefSeq, a predicted model, not a curated record
UAUGUAUGUAUAUGUACAUAUAUAUAUAUUAUAUAUGUGUAUAUAUAUAUAUAUAUAUAAACAGUGGUCGAAGUGGUGCGGUAUACCGCCACUUCUUCCACUGACCCGGAAAUUAAAGUGCAGCAGGAGGCUAGGGAAGUGGCCAUCCUGCUGCACAUGGUACUCCCAUCCCUGCUCGGUGGCUGUGUAGAGCGCUGUACUAUCUCACAGCCGCUCACCGGUGCCAGCCGCUCACCACUGCCCACCGCUCACCGCCGCCAGCCACCUGCCGCCAUCUGCAACAAAUGAUGGUCAGAGGGACUUCACCGCCGCUGCCCAUGGGUGCCUCCGUCGACCACAGUCAGCUGCUGCACCGAGGAGAACAGCACCACCAAAAUGAUGGUACACACAAAUGGCUGUGCAGGAGUCUGGUGUCUACCUAAUGACCAAUAGUGGUCAACCUAUUGAGUAUCAACCUAAGUAAGGUCGACCUAAGGACCGUAUCCCGAACAGAGACCUACAGGCUGCCCUAAUCUAUUCUAUGUUACAUUCAAACUGCAAUCACAGCAGCAAAAAGACAAAACAAAACUGGCUAUCAUGGGUCAUAGAGAUCUCUGGACAUGAAGCACUGCAACCAAACAUCCAUAAUCCAAAAAGAUCAGGUAUUAAAUAGAAUCUCUAAAACCAGGAAGAAUUUCAGGAAUACUGAUGAAUCGCUUUGACCAUCUCUAAAUAUGAAGCAGCGACUGCAGUGCAUUGACCCGAGCCUUCUCAAUGAGGCUACAUGUUGGCUUUCUCUGCCGAUAACUGAAGCCAAGUUAUGUUUUAAACUCUGAAUCGCCUAGUUAAGAUGCAAAAUACUUCUCAUUUACCACUGACUAAAGGCUACUAGAUUUUAUUUAUAUUGUUUGAGAUAAAGGUAAGAUCUUGAGAGAGAUUUUCCUACAGACAACAGAAUUCUUGUCAAUAAUCCAGUUGAAGGAGGCUGAAAUAUAGAGAUGGGCACAGACCCCCGUUUUUUUAUUUUG